UACGAAGGUGGCAAGCGUUGUUCGGAAUUAUUGGGCUUAAAGCGCGCGUAGGCGGACUGGAAAGUGUCCUGUGAAAACCCUCGGCUUAACCGAGGAAUUGCUUGGCAAACUAUCAGUCUUGAGGCAAGUAGGGGUACAUGGAACUCUUAGUGGAGCGGUGGAAUGCGUAGAUAUUAAGAGGAACGCCAAUGGUGAAGACAGUGUACUGGGCUUGUACUGACGCUGAGGUGCGAAAGCGUGGGGAGCGAACGGGAUUAGAUACCCCCGUA
RNAcentral lists this ribosomal RNA (269 nucleotides) under uncultured prokaryote. RNAcentral describes it as "partial 16S ribosomal RNA". It matches the Rfam family "Bacterial small subunit ribosomal RNA", at positions 524 to 792 of the family's 1533-position model. The record is from RNAcentral.